UACGUAGGGGACGAGCGUUGUCCGGAAUUAUUGGGCGUAAAGAGCGUGUAGGCGGCUCUGCAAGUCCUGCGUGAAAUCUCGAGGCUCAACCUCGAGCGGUCGUGGGAAACUGGAGGGCUAGAGUGCGGGAGAGGGAAGUGGAAUUCCAGGUGUAGCGGUGAAAUGCGCAGAUAUCAGGAGGAACACCGGUGGCGAAGGCGGGUCUCUGGGCAACAACUGACGCUGAGGAGCGAAAGCGUGGGGAGCGAACAGG
RNAcentral lists this ribosomal RNA (253 nucleotides) under uncultured bacterium. RNAcentral's name for it is "partial 16S ribosomal RNA". It matches the Rfam family "Bacterial small subunit ribosomal RNA", at positions 524 to 776 of the family's 1533-position model. The record is from RNAcentral.